AAGUCGUAACAAGGUUUCCGUAGGUGAACCUGCGGAAGGAUCAUUACCGAGUUGAGGGUUCACUCCGGUGGCCCGAACCUCCCAACCCUGUGUCUACUAUACCUUUGUCGUUGCUUCGGCGGACCGGUCGGACCCCUCACCGGGCCACGACCGCCGGGGACCCUGCGCCCUGGAGAGCGUCCGCCGAUGGCCUCAACCAAAAACUCUUGUACCCAACAUUGUCGUCUGAAUCCACUUGAUUACCAAUCAAAAACAAAACUUUCAACAACGGAUCUCUUGGUUCUG
Molecule: unclassified non-coding RNA, 285 nt
Filed under: air metagenome
Description: partial contains small subunit ribosomal RNA, internal transcribed spacer 1, and 5.8S ribosomal RNA
Rfam family: Eukaryotic small subunit ribosomal RNA (bases 1-46)
Source: RNAcentral